RNAcentral lists this ribosomal RNA (484 nucleotides) under uncultured bacterium. RNAcentral's name for it is "partial 16S ribosomal RNA". It matches the Rfam family "Bacterial small subunit ribosomal RNA", at positions 30 to 507 of the family's 1533-position model. The record is from RNAcentral.
AUUGAACGCUGGCGGCAGGCCUAACACAUGCAAGUCGAGCGGAUGAAGGGAGCUUGCUCCUGGAUUCAGCGGCGGACGGGUGAGUAAUGCCUAGGAAUCUGCCUGGUAGUGGGGGAUAACGUCCGGAAACGGGCGCUAAUACCGCAUACGUCCUGAGGGAGAAAGUGGGGGAUCUUCGGACCUCACGCUAUCAGAUGAGCCUAGGUCGGAUUAGCUAGUUGGUGGGGUAAAGGCCUACCAAGGCGACGAUCCGUAACUGGUCUGAGAGGAUGAUCAGUCACACUGGAACUGAGACACGGUCCAGACUCCUACGGGAGGCAGCAGUGGGGAAUAUUGGACAAUGGGCGUAAGCCUGAUCCAGCCAUGCCGCGUGUGUGAAGAAGGUCUUCGGAUUGUAAAGCACUUUAAGUUGGGAGGAAGGGCGGUAAGUUAAUACCUUGCUGUUUUGACGUUACCAACAGAAUAAGCACCGGCUAACUUCGUG